This is a long non-coding RNA of Hyla sarda, 974 nucleotides long. RefSeq lists it as uncharacterized. The record is from RefSeq and is a predicted model, not a curated record. NCBI's taxonomy places the organism in Eukaryota, Metazoa, Chordata, Amphibia, Anura, Hylidae. The transcript has 3 exons.
AUAAAUCUCCCCCUAAGUGCUCCACUAUGGCCCACCGGCCAACUACUAUAUGGACUAAUAAAUAUUCAUAGUUUCCCACUGGGAAAGCUUACAAAUCCAACACUGCGGCCCUGCAUUAUUACUUUGCAAGGAGUUGUCAAAGUAGCUGCUAUCCAGCACAGAGAACGAGAAGAUCACCUGAAAUCUGUCCAGAUUAGACACAGAGCAAAAACAUACCCAAUGUAGAUAUACGUUUUAUUUUAGCAAUUCUUACCUCUCCAGUGUUACCUUGGCUGUGUGCGUAGGCUCAUUGGUUUCUGCAUUCCCUCAACUCGGAUCAUCCUCCCUGUCCGUGCACAGCCCCACAGCAUGACGCUGCAACUACCGUGCUUCACUGUUCGGAUGGUAUUAUCCACGUGGUGAGCAGUGCAUGCUUUCCUCCAGACAUGAUACUUUGAGGCCCAAAAAUUUUAAUCUUGCUUUUAUCAGACCAGAGGGCUUUUUUUGGUUGCAAAAUUCAGAUGGGCUUUCAUAUAUCUUUUAUUGAGGAAAGGAUUAAUUCUGGCCAUUCUGCAAUGAAGCCUAGAUUGGUGGAGUGCGGCAAAGAUUGGUGAUCUUCUGGAAGUUUCUCUCAUCUUCACACAGAUCUUUGGAGCUCUGACACAGUGACCAUUAGGUUCUCGUCCAGCUCUAGAAAGAGUCCUGGUUGUUCCAACCUUCUUCCAUUUAAGAAUUAUGGGGGCCACUGUAAUCUUGAGAAGUGUGCCUCUACACAAUUCUGUCUCUGAGCUCUACAGGCAGUUCUUUCCCCCACUUUGUUUUUACUCUGAUAUACAUUGUAAGCUGUGAGACAUUAUAUAUAGGGUGUGCAUUACCAAAUCCUGUCCAAUCAUUAAAAUUUACCUCAGGUGACUCUAAUCAAGGUGUAGAAACAUCUUAAUGGAGAUAUGGGAGGCCCCCAGAGAUUAAUAUCAGGGCUGGAUACUUAAAGCAUG